This 479-nucleotide ribosomal RNA is filed under the name uncultured bacterium. Its description in RNAcentral is "bacterial SSU rRNA". It matches the Rfam family "Bacterial small subunit ribosomal RNA", at positions 32 to 521 of the family's 1533-position model. The record is from RNAcentral.
AAUCAACGCUGGCGGCGUGCCUCAGACAUGCAAGUCGAACGCGAAAGUUUCCUUCGGGAAGCGAGUAGAGUGGCGCACGGGUGAGUAACACGUAAGUAAUCUACCUCGGGGUGGGGAAUAACAUCGGGAAACCGAUGCUAAUACCGCAUAAUGCAGCGGCUUCUUAUGAAGACAGUUGUUAAAGCAUUUAUGUGCCUGGAGAGGAGCUUGCGGCAGAUUAGCUAGUUGGUAAGGUAAUGGCUUACCAAGGCAACGAUCUGUAGCCGACCUGAGAGGGUGGUCGGUCACACUGACACUGAAUAACGGGUCAGACUCCUACGGGAGGCAGCAGUCGGGAAUUUUGGGCAAUGGGCGAAAGCCUGACCCAGCAACGCCGCGUGAAGGAUGAAGUAUUUCGGUAUGUAAACUUCGUAAAAUAGGAAGAAUAAAUGACGGUACUAUUUGUAAGGUCCGGCUAACUACGUGCCAGCAGCCGCAGU